RNAcentral lists this ribosomal RNA (253 nucleotides) under uncultured bacterium. RNAcentral describes it as "partial 16S ribosomal RNA". It matches the Rfam family "Bacterial small subunit ribosomal RNA", at positions 524 to 776 of the family's 1533-position model. The record is from RNAcentral.
UACGUAGGGUGCGAGCGUUGUCCGGAAUUAUUGGGCGUAAAGAGCUCGUAGGCGGCUUGUCACGUCGGGUGUGAAAGCCCGGGGCUUAACCCCGGGUCUGCAUUCGAUACGGGCUGGCUAGAGUGUGGUAGGAGAGAUCGGAAUUCCUGGUGUAGCGGUGAAAUGCGCAGAUAUCAGGAGGAACACCGGUGGCGAAGGCGGAUCUCUGGGCCAUUACUGACGCUGAGGAGCGAAAGCGUGGGGAGCGAACAGG